This 499-nucleotide ribosomal RNA is filed under the name uncultured bacterium. RNAcentral's name for it is "partial 16S ribosomal RNA". It matches the Rfam family "Bacterial small subunit ribosomal RNA", at positions 29 to 523 of the family's 1533-position model. The record is from RNAcentral.
AUUGAACGCUGGCGGCAUGCCUUACACAUGCAAGUCGAACGACGCCAGGGGGCAACUCCUGGCGAGUGGCGAACGGGUGAGUAAUACAUCGGAACGUGUCCUGUCGUGGGGGAUAACCAGUCGAAAGACUGGCUAAUACCGCAUGAGAUCGAGAGAUGAAAGCGGGGGACCCGCAAGGGCCUCGCGCGACUCGAGCGGCCGAUGUCGGAUUAGCUAGUUGGCGGGGUAAUGGCCCACCAAGGCGACGAUCCGUAGCUGGUUUGAGAGAACGACCAGCCACACUGGGACUGAGACACGGCCCAGACUCCUACGGGAGGCAGCAGUGGGGAAUUUUGGACAAUGGGCGCAAGCCUGAUCCAGCCAUGCCGCGUGUGUGAAGAAGGCCUUCGGGUUGUAAAGCACUUUCGGACGGAACGAAAUCGCGCGGGUGAACAAUCCGCGUGGAUGACGGUACCGCAAGAAGAAGCACCGGCUAACUACGUGCCAGCCGCCGCGGUAA